CUAAUAAGUCAUAUUUUGUUAUCUUUCUAAAAUUAUUUUAUUCUUAGAUGAUGAUUACUCUAUUUAUAUUUGAGGGUUAUUUAUGGAAACCCUAUUGAUUUGUGUUAAACUGAAAAAAAUGGCUCAAAGGGUAGCUUGGGGCUAAUGUAGCCUCAAGCACCGUGUGACACUCUAGGACCCAUUUUUCAGGGUGUUACAAACUUGGUAUCAGAGCCUAAGGUUUUAUGGUGUCCUA
RNAcentral lists this long non-coding RNA (235 nucleotides) under Capsicum annuum. RNAcentral's name for it is "long non-coding RNA (CANN_LNC010068)". Lineage: Eukaryota; Viridiplantae; Streptophyta; Magnoliopsida; Solanales; Solanaceae. The record is from RNAcentral.